UCGAGCGGAUGAGAGGAGCUUGCUCCUUGAUUUAGCGGCGGACGGGUGAGUAAUGCCUAGGAAUCUGCCUGGUAGUGGGGGAUAACGUCCGGAAACGGGCGCUAAUACCGCAUACGUCCUACGGGAGAAAGCAGGGGACCUUCGGGCCUUGCGCUAUCAGAUGAGCCUAGGUCGGAUUAGCUAGUUGGUGAGGUAAUGGCUCACCAAGGCGACGAUCCGUAACUGGUCUGAGAGGAUGAUCAGUCACACUGGAACUGAGACACGGUCCAGACUCCUACGGGAGGCAGCAGUGGGGAAUAUUGGACAAUGGGCGAAAGCCUGAUCCAGCCAUGCCGCGUGUGUGAAGAAGGUCUUCGGAUUGUAAAGCACUUUAAGUUGGGAGGAAGGGCAGUAAGUUAAUACCUUGCUGUUUUGACGUUACCGACAGAAUAAGCACCGGCUAACUUCGUGCCAGCAGCCGCGGUAAUACGAAGGGUGCAAGCGUUAAUCGGAAUUACUGGGCGUAAAGCGCGCGUAGGUGGUUCGUUAAGUUGGAUGUGAAAGCCCCGGGCUCAACCUGGGAACUGCAUCCAAAACUGGCGAGCUAGAGUACGGUAGAGGGUGGUGGAAUUUCCUGUGUAGCGGUGAAAUGCGUAGAUAUAGGAAGGAACACCAGUGGC
Molecule: ribosomal RNA, 659 nt
Filed under: Pseudomonas sp. SN24
Lineage: Bacteria; Pseudomonadati; Pseudomonadota; Gammaproteobacteria; Pseudomonadales; Pseudomonadaceae
Description: bacterial SSU rRNA
Rfam family: Bacterial small subunit ribosomal RNA
Source: RNAcentral